This 627-nucleotide ribosomal RNA is filed under the name uncultured Verrucomicrobiota bacterium. Its description in RNAcentral is "bacterial SSU rRNA". It matches the Rfam family "Bacterial small subunit ribosomal RNA", at positions 70 to 680 of the family's 1533-position model. The record is from RNAcentral. Lineage: Bacteria; Pseudomonadati; Verrucomicrobiota.
UCUUUGGUAGCAAUACCGAAGAAAGUCUAGUGGCGAACGGGUGCGUAACACGUGGGCAAUCUGCCUUAAAGUGGGGGAUAGCUCGGCGAAAGCCGGAUUAAUACCGCAUGUGAUUACCGGAGACAUCUUCGGAACAUCAAAGUCGGGGCAACCUGACGCUUUUUGAGGAGCCCGCGGCCUAUCGGCUAGUUGGUGAGGUAACGGCUCACCAAGGCUUUGACGGGUAGCUGGUCUGAGAGGACGACCAGUCACACUGGAACUGAGACACGGUCCAGACACCUACGGGUGGCAGCAGUCGAGAAUUUUUCUCAAUGGGGGAAACCCUGAAGGAGCGACGCCGCGUGGAGGAUGAAGGUCUUCGGGUUGUAAACUCCCGUCAUUUGGGAACAAUGCUUACGUAUUAACUGUACGUGAGUUGAUAGUACCAGAAGAGGAAGAGACGGCUAACUCUGUGCCAGCAGCCGCGGUAAUACAGAGGUCUCAAGCGUUGUUCGGAUUCAUUGGGCGUAAAGGGUGUGUAGGUGGCGCGCUAAGUCGGGUGUGAAAUUUCGGAGCUUAACUCCGAAACUGCAUUCGAUACUGGCGUGCUUGAGGACUGGAGAGGAGACUGGAAUUCUCGGUGUAGCA